RNAcentral lists this ribosomal RNA (3405 nucleotides) under Triticum aestivum (bread wheat). RNAcentral describes it as "partial small subunit ribosomal RNA". The record is from RNAcentral. Lineage: Eukaryota; Viridiplantae; Streptophyta; Magnoliopsida; Poales; Poaceae.
AUGGCUCCAUCGACCGCGGCCGGCGCGGCCGGCGCGGCGGCGGGGUGGCUGGUGUCGCCGCUGCUGCAGUGCCUGGGCGACCGGGCCAGGUCCUUCGCGGAAGACCUCGCGCGAUACCUCCCGGGAGGAUCCGGGGACGCGCCCGCCGACCUCGCGCGCCUCUCUGGCGAGCUCCUCCGCCUCCAGAUGAACGCCGCCGACGUCGAGCGCGCCCGGCGCCGCCCCUCUGACCCCGCCCUCGUCGCCUGGCUCCACCGCCUCAGGGACGCGGCCCACGACGCCGACGACCUCCUCGACAACAUCCACUACGGCCGCCUCGCCGACUCCCUCGCCGCCCCACGCCAUAAGCUCCGCCGCAUCCUCGACUUCUCCCUCUCCCUCUGCCGCCGCCUGUUCCGCUCCGACGAGCCCCUCAGUCGGCUCCCCUCCGUCCUAGAGAAUCUCGUCGCCGCCUCCGCGGCCUAUGCUGAGAUCGCGCACCUCGUCAAGCUGGACGCGGCCGCCUCUCCGCGGCUUGGUAACGAGCCGGCCGGGAACUUUAGCUCUGCCGUCCCGGUCGACGACACUCUCUUUGGCCGGGGCCGCGAGCUCGCCGAACUGAUGGAAAGGUUAGUCGGGUGUAGUGACCCUGGCCCUGCUCAACUCGGGAACCAGGGCGUCCCGGUUGUUGCCAUUGUUGGCGAUGGUGGCAUUGGCAAGACGACGCUGGCGCAGAUGGCCUUCAAUGAUGUGAGCAUCCAGGCUCACUUCGAUCUCCAGAUGUGGGUGCGCGUCUCGAGCUGUAUGAAUCUAAUGCAGCUUACUAGGGAGAUACUGCAGGCGGCUACAAAGGGGAAGGAGUCGAAGGACUAUCCUGGGUUAGUCAAUUUUGAUUCUCUGCAAGGCUUGCUGCGUUCUGCCGUUGAAGGGAAGAGGUUCUUGCUCAUCCUUGAUGAUGUUUGGGAUGAUAGUGGGAGGAAGAUUUGGGAGAACGUGGACCAGUGGAAGGAGCUACUAUCACCUCUGAAGAAUGGUGAGCAAGAUAGCAGAAUAGUUGUGACUACACGCAUGAAGAUGGUGGCUGACAUGCUAGGUGUAAGGAUCCCAAUGAUGUUGGCUGGAUUGGGUACCGAAGAGCAUUGGUUGUUGCUCAAGAAGCACGCAUUGGGUUGUGAGAAGAGUUGUGAAUAUCUGCAGUUGCAGGAGAUUGGGAGAAAGAUUGCUUUGAAGCUAAGAGGAUCCCCUCUCGCAGCUAAAGUUAUUGGCGGGAUGCUUAAUGUUGAUCGAAGGGCAAGGUAUUGGAACAGUAUCUUGGAGACAGAUAUUCAUGGUGAUGUUGUCACCACACUUUUGUCAAGCUAUUAUCAUCUUCCACCACACUUGCAGUGUUGCUUUGCAUAUUGCAGUAUAUUUCCGAAGAAUUGGAAGUUUGAGCCUAAGAAACUUGUUAGGAUGUGGAUAUCACAGGGUUUCAUUCAGAUGGAAAAUGGCAGAAGCAUGGAGGAUUGUGGUAAAGAGUAUUUCAAACAACUUUUGUCAAGGUCAUUCUUUCAGACGGUCAAGCAAGGAAACAAAAGGCUGUAUCUCAUGCAUGACUUGAUUCAUGACUUGGCACAAAUGGUUUCUGAUGGUGAUUGUGGGAGGGUCGAAGGUGACAUGUCCAGAAACAUACUGCCAACCAUCAGACACUUGUCAGUUUCAAGUAACUGUUUAGGAAAGAUAAAAGACCAAUAUGAUCUGAAGAGAUUAAGGACACUGAUUGUGUUUAGAGAUCCUUUGAUGCCCCUGAGUCCUAUCCCAGAUGGUUUUCUCGCUGAGAUAAAGAAUGUGCGCACGUUGGAUUUUACCGGAUGUGAUAUAUCCAAGUUACCUGAAGAAAUUGACGUACUAACUCAUCUACGCUACAUAGCACUUCCUGAUACUAUCAAGACCAUAUCUGAAUCUGUGAGCAGAUUAUUGCAUCUUCAGACUUUUGAUAUUCCGAAGAAGUGCCAGCUUGAUGGAUUUCCUGAGGGUAUGCACCAGUUGACCAGCUUGCGAUAUCUUGGCAUCGAGUCAAAAUACAUCUCAACAAUAAGAGGUAUUGGUAGUCUGGUUAACCUUCAAGGUUCUGUUGAGUUCCAUGUUAAAAAGGAAAAGGGGCGAACCUUAGAAGAGUUGAAGGAUAUGAAGGAUCUUCAUGGGCUUCUUAGCAUCAAGAAUCUGGAAAAUGUUCAAUGCAAAGAGGAAGCUUGUGAAGCUCAAUUGGCGAAUAAGCAACACGUGAACAUUUUAAAAUUUGAAUGGAGUGUUGCCAAUUUAGAUUUUGGUCCCAACAUAGACGCUGAAGUAUUGAACUGCUUACAACCUCAUCCUAAUCUGGAAGAACUUCACAUUGCAAGGUACAAAGGGGCAUCAUCGCCGAGGUGGUUGCAGCUGAAAACGUUGUCCCACCUGAAAUGCAUGUAUCUAGCUAAUUGCAGAAGGUGGAAGUGGCUUCCUCCUCUGGGGCAGCUUCCAUCUCUGAGGGUGUUGCACCUGAAGGAAAUGAAUUCUGUUGCUGAAAUUGGCCCUUCGUUCUAUGGUGGCUUGAUGGCAUUUCAAUCUCUAAAGGAUCUUGAAUUUGAUGACAUGCCGAAUUUAGUUCGCUGGACAGGAGAAACUGGUCACUCAUUUUUCCCUUCCCUGCAAAAGUUGAAGAUUUCAAACUGUCCAAAGUUGGAUGAAGUGCCCUUGCUUCCUUAUACAAUAAAAAGAGUGACGGUAGAACGAAGUAAAGUUUCACAUCUCAAGUUGUCCCCUCAUUGUUCAUCUAGAUCAAGCAAAUUCAUGUUGGAAAUUUCUUCCGCAAGUAUUCUGAGUGAAGGGUUCUUAUUACAUCAGCAACACCUUGAAGCUACCGAGGUUCUAAACAUUAGGAGUUGUUGGGGAUCAGUGGCUGCCGAAAAAUUUAAGUUACUAACAUCACUAAGAAAACUACGGUUAUGGCAGUGCGACAUGGAUGAUGCGAGGCUUAAUUUGUGUUUGCAACACUUAACUGUUCUCGCUUCCUUAGAGAUAAUUGACUGCAAGAAUAUCAUGUCAUUUGACUUGCCAGUUGGUUCAAGGUAUUUGACAACACUUCAACACUUGUGCUUUGAGAAUUGCCAGAACCUUUCCUCCGUGGCUACCUUGGAAAGCUCCAUUUUCCUGAAAAGUUUGAUCAUUGAGAGGUGUCCAAUGGUCACAGCAGAGUCAUUACCUUCUGAGAUGGAGAGAAUGAUAUCUCUUAAUAAACUGAGUAUAUCACACUGCCCAGGGUUUCAGUCAUUACCGAGCAGUAUCCCGUCAUCCUUGGAAUUUCUUCAUUUGGCUGGGUGCGACUCAAGGUUGACUAAAGGGUUACUUGAGAGGCAAGGUCCAGAGUGGGAGAAGAUUGCCUUUAUCUCCCAAAUCACAGUACACUAA